Molecule: ribosomal RNA, 98 nt
Filed under: Ipomoea nil (Japanese morning glory)
Lineage: Eukaryota; Viridiplantae; Streptophyta; Magnoliopsida; Solanales; Convolvulaceae
Description: 5.8S ribosomal RNA
Rfam family: 5.8S ribosomal RNA
About the family: 5.8S ribosomal RNA (5.8S rRNA) is a component of the large subunit of the eukaryotic ribosome. It is transcribed by RNA polymerase I as part of the 45S precursor that also contains 18S and 28S rRNA.
Source: Rfam by way of RNAcentral
ACUUGGUGUGAAUUGCAAGAAUCCCGUGAACCAUCGAGUCUUUGAACGCAAGUUGCGCCCGAAGCCGUUAGGCCGAGGGCACGUCUGCCUGGGCGUCA